GCAGACCGAACCCUACCCACACACCGGCGAUCAUACAACAGUGAGUGACCCGAACCAGCGGUCGUCGGCGACGACGGUGAGAGCUCCGGUGGUAAAUGAGAUUGCUUACUUUCACAUAUUCUUUUGCAACAUGCACCUUCCUGGCAAGAGAAAAGAUCAGCAAUACCAAAUAUAUCUACAUUUGGUGCAAUUGCUGAAAGUCCAAACUUAAGAAACCUGAAGUGGAGAUAGAUAGCUUGAAUCAACCAUAUUAGAAACUUGAAUGGCUACAUCACUUCCAUUUCAUGCUUCACUAUGCCCAGAAGUCAUCAAAUGAUUUGCCUUUUGAGAUAUAUCUCAUGAUAAGCAGUAACUCUUCAAGCAAGUACACUGCCUCUCUAUAAUCAAACAGCAUUUUGGCUGUAAAUAAAAAACGAAGCAAUAUAAUAAUCAAAGAAUAAGUGGAACUCCAUAGUAUAAAUGCAACUUUAUCUGACAAGAGGAGAAAAGCCUGUAUGUGGUUGCCUCAAAAAUGUAUUAAAGAAGCUAUAGAAAUAUCCAUUCACCUCUGAGCACAUAAUUGCAACUAAAAUAAUCACAAAUGUUACAUGGAUUGAUUACAUCCAUUCAGAUCUAGUGAUCUAGAUGAGUCACAAUGGACUCUAGCUCACUGAGUUCUAAUGACGGGCCUCACGGCCUAGGGGAGGCUGAGGCUUGUGACUCUAAACAUUGGUAACUAUGUGAUGUUCAUCCUUCGUGUCCUCAAGGUUUAUGUAUCCAAUUCUAAUUUUAGUUCCACUGCACAUAAGUAAUGAUGAGGCAAGCCCUAGUGAUUGUACUGAAGUUUACUGAGGCCACUUGUUCCAAUUCUAAUGUAGGAAUUGAAUGAAUCAAAGAUGGGUUUAACUGUUUAAGAGGGUUAGGAUGUGUUUAGGAGUGAUCAUAGGACAAAAGACAGAUUUGUCCCAGUAGCCAGAACAUAUUGCCAUUAUCAUAAGAAAAUCCAAUAUUAUCUAGUGACUAUGAAAUUCUAAACAUUAAUAAUCUACCAACUGAACCACCACCAGUUGGCUAAGAAAGCAUAGUUAACAUCAGUCAAAGCCAAAUUUUUUGAAGGUCAUAAAUAUAGAUAAUCAAGAUUGUUGCUCUAAAGUAAGAUCAUGGUGGAAGAAUUGUUAUUUCUAAUGAACAUCAACUGUUGUAUAGGUAUUUAAAAUUUUCUUCCAACAAAUUGGAGUCUACUAAUGCUUUUCAUUAUUCACCUUAUUGUUAUCAUAUGAGAAAAACUAAGAAAUGUGUGAAAAUGGUGGUUUGAUGAGACUGAAAAUAUCCAUUUUGUGCAAAAGCACCAGAGUUUAGGUAGAUAUUAACCUCUCCCAAGACUCGGAUAACUGGAACCAACAUUAGGUAGUAGUCCUUUAAAAUGACAAAGCUAAGAAAAGUAAACUAAUUAGCUAAAAUUUAGAAACUAAUUGGUGUUUUGAAAAUGAAGCACCUAAAUGUUUUCUUCCCUCAUAGAUUUUAUUAAGAGAAACUAAUAUAAAAUAGCCCUGUGCCAUGGACCAAGUGACAAUACUAUUCUAGUUAAGAAAUAUAGUAGACUGUUUCUUGUCAUAUUAUUGGUUAACAUCUAGUUCAUGCCUGCUUGGCCAGAGAGUCAGCCAUAGCAAAUGCAAUGGCUGAUUCUCUGGCCAAGCAGGGGGUGUAAAGGGGAGAUCUAUUUUGGGCUGCUUUGUAAUUGUGUCUCAGGCUUAGGCAGUUUUGGUGUAUAUGGUUCAGUCCUAGGGGGUAACAUCUCGAGCCUCCUCCUAGGCUGAUUGUAUUUUUGUUAUUUGAUUUAAUAAAAUUACUCUCACUUAUAAAAAAAAAAAAAUCUAGUUCAUGCCUCUUCUUAAUUUCCAAAUAUUUAUGUACAACACCAACAAUUUCAAAUUCAGAACUUAAUAUUAGAUGAGAAUACUGUUCUAUACAACUAGAAUAUAUAAUACUCAUUCUUCUCAAUCACAAAGCACUAGGUACUAUUCUAACUCAUUGUUAACUCAGAGAUGGUUUACCAUACCCAAAACUAUGUAUAAUAUAGAAACUAAAUCAAUAAAGAAAAAUAAAUCAAUAAUAGUAACUUCCCUAAAUACAAAGACAUCCAACCAAGUCUCCUAACCCACCAAAAAGGGCUUACUAGUAUUUCUUGAUGAAUAAGGGCUUACUAGUAUUUCCAUACAUGUGUCUCAAACAACUAUACAAAGGUAAUCCACAAUUAUAUCUCUCUAACAGUUAGGUUUAGGGACUAUCACUACUCUAACCCUUGACAGGUUUUCUUGAUAACCUUUCUAUCAUUUGAAUACCUAAACCUCACUAAUUUCAACCAUGGAUAUGACUUAAUUUCUUGAAUUUUCAAUAAAAAGUUCUAUUAAUUUCAAUAGAACAGAUGAAAUCUCCACUAUCCCCACAAAAAUGUGAAAAAAAAAAUGAAAAGAAAGGAACAUGAAUAAGCCUUUAUUUUGCAUCAUAAAACAGAUUCAAACUGAAAUAUAUGGAACCAUAAAAAAUAUAAAAGCAUUCAAAAUCACACACAAGAAUAGGAAAAGAGCAAUAAAUUGAACCAGAAUUGCACCUUAAUCCUGCUCCAACUACUAAUAAAAGAUAAAAAAAAAUGUUUCCUAUUUUCAUUAUUCCAAACUAACAACAAUAUGUUUCUGCUCAAAUAAAAAAAAAAAAAAACGAAAAAAAAAGAAAAGAAUCCAAAUGUUGGUGUUUUGAUGCACUUAUACCUGAUACAAAAAAAUAAAACCCUUUUAUCAUUGAUUUCUCAAAAAAUUAAUGCCAUAUCAUAUGAAACGCCCAAAGACCUACAACUGGAUAAGUAACCCCUACGUGUUUGGCCAUCCUAAAGCUGACAUUUUGAUAACUUUUUCAGGUUGUUGUAUAUUUGAAAUUAUUGUACAACAACCUGCAUUUAGAGCUCCCGUAAGACUUCGCUUGGGCUAGAUUUCUUGGCUCUCUGAGUUUUACAUGCCUUAAGUAACAUUGUUUUAAUAGCAUCUCAAUUAAACAGGAUAUAGCUGGAUUGAUCAACAAGAUAAACAGAUCCUCCAUUUCUCUGCUCCCAACUGUGUAUUCCUCCUCACUGUAAGUUUAAUGUCCUCCAAAAUCAUUCUGGUACCCUUUCAACAAAUUGGAUUACCAAGAAUUUUGGAAACAAGAAAUCAAAAUAAAAAAAGGAAAUCAAUGAAAUAAUAAUAAAAGAGGAAUAAUAAAAUGAGAAACAAUUUUUUGAACGGGAUGAAAAAAAUAAGAUGCAUUAUGUGCAUCACGGAGGAACGACGGAUCAACGGGCAGAGGAAUAGUGAUUCUUACCAUUUCAAUGGAGGAAAGAACAAUGAGAAGCGGCGGUGGCAAUUAGGCGGAGCAGUGACAACAGAAACUAGGCGGAGCGGCGGCGGCAAAUGGGAGGAUCAAUGGUGCCGGCAACAGAGGGAGGACGAAGAUGACAGAUUGUAGGAGGAUAAACUCUUUGGCAUUGGUGACUAGACGGAGCUACAGCGAUGACUAGAUCAAGCAACAGCAGCAAGACGAUGAAGUGUAGGAGGAGAAACUACUUAGCAGCGGUGAAGGUGAUUUUUGAGAGAAGCAGGAGAGGCACUCUCGAUUGUGGGGGCAAUUUUAAGAUUUUAAAUUUUUAUCUACUUACCCUCCACUCGGGAAAUGGAUUUACCCGUAGAUUCCAAUAGUA
Molecule: long non-coding RNA, 3709 nt
Organism: Nelumbo nucifera (sacred lotus)
Lineage: Eukaryota; Viridiplantae; Streptophyta; Magnoliopsida; Proteales; Nelumbonaceae
Source: RefSeq, a predicted model, not a curated record